This is a long non-coding RNA of Chiroxiphia lanceolata (lance-tailed manakin), 1939 nucleotides long. RefSeq lists it as uncharacterized. NCBI's taxonomy places the organism in Eukaryota, Metazoa, Chordata, Aves, Passeriformes, Pipridae. The record is from RefSeq and is a predicted model, not a curated record. The transcript is spliced from 3 exons.
UCAGUCACUACUAAACCAACAGGAAUACAGCUUUUUCAAUAUCACUGCAGAGAAAGAGAAGGAAAGGUGGCAUUCGUGAUUCCAGAGCGCUGCGCCUCAUCACGGCAGUAACAGGGAAGAAAAAGUCACUGGAAGAGAAGGUACAAAUCCAGUGCUUGCCAGAAAACAUCCUUUCAGCCUUGACACAAGUUGUCUGAAGCUCUGUCUAUGCCAACCCCAACCAUUGUGCCAUCAUCAGAGACAUUUGGAGGUUUCUGUGGUACAUUGCAGGGAGCUGCAGCUGCUGUUCACAGGAAACACAUCCAGACGUAACAAGAAGCAGGGAUUGAACAAGAUAAGAUCUGCACUUGCAAGCAGCCAGAAAGCCACGCGUUACCCAUAUGAGGGAAGAUCACCCACACGGCACAGAUCUGCCAUGAGCAUUGGGAGGGGAGGAGGCAGUUCAGCCAAGUGUACCAUGGAUGCCCUUGCAUUGUGGAGAAAGGCACAAGCAAUUGGAUUUAACCAGCUGGGUGGAAUUUGAUUUGAUUAGCUUUGGCACAGUUUCACAUACUCUCAAUUCAUCAGUGAAUGGAGUAACUAUAUUGGAAAGCUACUGGGGAAAAACAACAUUGCCCCUGAUGCUGCUGUCACGGGCAGAUAGAGCACAAUCCCAUACAGUCUCACUCUGUGUUUUUCUCUCUUCAUUGUCUCCCUAGUUAGUUUUUUUGUGCCAGUGUGUGUCUUCCUGUAUCAGGAUUCGCUGCCUUUUCUUGGUCUGAGAUCUUGGCAUGGAAAGAGCAGUAAUUACUCCAUGGUAUGACUCGAUGACUAUGAGCAAGGGUGGGAGUGCCCCCUCUUGAACAAUAAAACCCCUUGUAGAGAAAAGCCUAACUAAACAAAACAAAAUAAUGUGUAAAACCAGGCAGUGCUGCCACAAAGCUCUUUGCCAGCCAGAGAGUCUAUAUGGAGUAUGAAUAAGAGCCUACUGUGUUUUAUUCCGUUCUGCCUGUUAAAGAUCCCAUUCUAUAAAGAGGUAUCUGUUAGUCUGUUCUGAUUUCAUACAAGCCCAGGCAAAUAAAACUUCUUUAGUUUCAAUGAAGCUAGUCCUAAUUUACAGUAAGAAUGAGAACUGAACCAGCCCCAGCAAUUUGGGAUAGCAUGUUCAGACAAAACUUUUUUUCUCAAAUUCAUCUUCAGAAAAUAAAAUCACCCACUUUUAUUCAACUCUCAAUACCUAGCAAUUUUGAAAAUCAGUCAUGGCAGCUCACAGUUAGAAACAUUUAAGUGUAGUAUGAGCUUACAAGUCCUGUAAUAUAAGCUAAUAGAGGUUAAUAUGCAGAGGAUUAAAGUCUUUAGAAACACAGCUCACCAGAAAAGCACGUGUCUGUACAUACAUUUGCUCAGCUGUCUAUACGAAGAAGAGCAUCAGGGAAGUUUAUUGCUUUAUCCUACAGCUCCCCAGAAGACCAGCCUUUGUUUAAAGAAUAGAUUUGAAGAAAAGUUAAAGGUUUCAGAGACAGGGAAUCAAGAUAAAUAUGGUGAACUGUACAGACUCAUCUCAAGAACUUUUUCUGUAAAACAGUCUCACACUGAAUAAAGUUCUCCUAAGUAUUAACAUCUGUAUUGAGUGAAAAUACUUUCCUUGGUUAACUUUCAAAUCAAGAGGUGAAAUUAAAAAGUAAGAACAUUCUCAGUAUGAGAAUUAAAGCUCUUUAAGCAUCCAAGUUUUCAAUAGAGAAGUGUUCAGGCAUGAGUCUUUUUGAUUUUUAGCAAGGUACUACAAUUGUAAAUAUGUAGGAACUCAGAAUUGUAGAGAAGCCAAAAAUCACCCUUCUCCAGACAAAACCCCUGUGUAUAUGCCUGGAAAAUACAGAUAAUGGAAAUAUGGAUCUUAGAGGUAAAGAACCAAAAAUCAGUUAAUGUACUUAACAAAUGAACAACAGAUAUAUAAUUUUGA